RNAcentral lists this microRNA (23 nucleotides) under Ananas comosus (pineapple). Its description in RNAcentral is "microRNA s0145_c063". Lineage: Eukaryota; Viridiplantae; Streptophyta; Magnoliopsida; Poales; Bromeliaceae. The record is from RNAcentral.
GCUGACCAUGUGUGUGCAAGAGG